RNAcentral lists this ribosomal RNA (500 nucleotides) under uncultured bacterium. RNAcentral describes it as "partial 16S ribosomal RNA". It matches the Rfam family "Bacterial small subunit ribosomal RNA", at positions 30 to 523 of the family's 1533-position model. The record is from RNAcentral.
AUUGAACGCUGGCGGCAUGCCUUACACAUGCAAGUCGAACGGCAGCACGGGAGCAAUCCUGGUGGCGAGUGGCGAACGGGUGAGUAAUAUAUCGGAACGUGCCCAGUCGUGGGGGAUAACGCAGCGAAAGCUGUGCUAAUACCGCAUACGAUCUAUGGAUGAAAGCGGGGGAUCGCAAGACCUCGCGCGAUUGGAGCGGCCGAUAUCAGAUUAGCUAGUUGGUGAGGUAAAGGCUCACCAAGGCGACGAUCUGUAGCUGGUCUGAGAGGACGACCAGCCACACUGGAACUGAGACACGGUCCAGACUCCUACGGGAGGCAGCAGUGGGGAAUUUUGGACAAUGGGCGAAAGCCUGAUCCAGCAAUGCCGCGUGCAGGAUGAAGGCCUUCGGGUUGUAAACUGCUUUUGUACGGAACGAAACGGUGAGCUCUAAUACAGUUUGCUAAUGACGGUACCGUAAGAAUAAGCACCGGCUAACUACGUGCCAGCCGCCGCGGUAA